Molecule: ribosomal RNA, 460 nt
Filed under: uncultured bacterium
Lineage: Bacteria
Description: partial 16S ribosomal RNA
Rfam family: Bacterial small subunit ribosomal RNA
Source: RNAcentral
CCUACGGGAGGCAGCAGUGAGGAAUAUUGGUCAAUGGACGUAAGCCUGAACCAGCCAUGCCGCGUGAAGGAAGACGGCUCUAUGAGUUGUAAACUGCUUUUGUACGGGGGUAAACGCAGCUACGUGUAUCUGUCUGAAAGUAUCUUACGAAUAAGGAUCGGCUAACUCCGUGCCAGCAGCCGCGGUAAUACGGAGGAUUCAAGCGUUAUCCGGAUUUAUUGGGUUUAAAGGGUGCGUAGGCGGUCUGAUAAGUUAGAGGUGAAAGUCCGAGGCUUAACCUCAGAAUUGCCUUUGAUACUGGUGGGCUAGAGAAUAGUUGCGGUAGGCGGAAUGCAUGGUGUAGCGGUGAAAUGCUUAGAGAUCACACAGAACACCGAUUGCGAAGGCAGCUUACCAAGCUACUACUGACGCUGAGGCACGAAAGCGUGGGGAUCAAACAGGAUUAGAUACCCUGGUAGUC